Non-coding RNA from Capsicum annuum, 59 nucleotides. NCBI's taxonomy places the organism in Eukaryota, Viridiplantae, Streptophyta, Magnoliopsida, Solanales, Solanaceae. The record is from Rfam.
UAGAGGAAUAGGUCAACUCAUCAGGCUCAUAACCUGAAGAUUGCAGGUUCGAACUCUGG